Molecule: transfer RNA, 89 nt
Filed under: Bacillota bacterium
Lineage: Bacteria; Bacillati; Bacillota
Description: tRNA-Leu
Rfam family: tRNA
About the family: Transfer RNA (tRNA) molecules are approximately 80 nucleotides in length. Their secondary structure includes four short double-helical elements and three loops (D, anti-codon, and T loops). Further hydrogen bonds mediate the characteristic L-shaped molecular structure. tRNAs have two regions of fundamental functional importance: the anti-codon, which is responsible for specific mRNA codon recognition, and the 3' end, to which the tRNAs corresponding amino acid is attached (by aminoacyl-tRNA synthetases). tRNAs cope with the degeneracy of the genetic code in two manners: having more than one tRNA (with a specific anti-codon) for a particular amino acid; and 'wobble' base-pairing, i.e. permitting non-standard base-pairing at the 3rd anti-codon position.
Source: RNAcentral
GCCCGGGUGGCGGAACUGGCAGACGCACGGGACUUAAAAUCCCGCGGUCCUUACCGACCGUACCGGUUCGAUUCCGGUUCCGGGCACCA